RNAcentral lists this ribosomal RNA (253 nucleotides) under uncultured bacterium. RNAcentral describes it as "partial 16S ribosomal RNA". It matches the Rfam family "Bacterial small subunit ribosomal RNA", at positions 524 to 776 of the family's 1533-position model. The record is from RNAcentral.
UACGUAGGGGGCAAGCGUUGUCCGGAAUCAUUGGGCGUAAAGAGCGUGUAGGCGGUCCGGUAAGUCCGCUGUGAAAGUCGGGGGCUCAACCCUCGAAUGCCGGUGGAUACUGUCGGGCUAGAGUGCGGAAGAGGCGAGUGGAAUUCCUGGUGUAGCGGUGAAAUGCGCAGAUAUCAGGAGGAACACCGAUGGCGAAGGCAGCUCGCUGGGACGUUACUGACGCUGAGACGCGAAAGCGUGGGGAGCAAACAGG